AACGAACGCUGGCGGCAUGCCUAACACAUGCAAGUCGAACGAGACCUUCGGGUCUAGUGGCGCACGGGUGCGUAACGCGUGGGAACCUGCCCUUAGGUUCGGAAUAACUCCCCGAAAGGGGUGCUAAUACCGGAUAAUGUCUUCGGACCAAAGAUUUAUCGCCUUUGGAUGGGCCCGCGUUGGAUUAGCUAGUUGGUAGGGUAAAAGCCUACCAAGGCGACGAUCCAUAGCUGGUCUGAGAGGAUGAUCAGCCACACUGGGACUGAGACACGGCCCAGACUCCUACGGGAGGCAGCAGUGGGGAAUAUUGGACAAUGGGCGAAAGCCUGAUCCAGCAGUGCCGCGUGAGCGAUGAAGGCCUUAGGGUUGUAAAGCUCUUUUACCCGGGAUGAUAAUGACAGUACCGGGAGAAUAAGCUCCGGCUAACUCCGUG
This 433-nucleotide ribosomal RNA is filed under the name uncultured bacterium. Its description in RNAcentral is "partial 16S ribosomal RNA". It matches the Rfam family "Bacterial small subunit ribosomal RNA", at positions 29 to 507 of the family's 1533-position model. The record is from RNAcentral.